Molecule: ribosomal RNA, 530 nt
Filed under: uncultured bacterium
Lineage: Bacteria
Description: bacterial SSU rRNA
Rfam family: Bacterial small subunit ribosomal RNA
Source: RNAcentral
GACGAACGCUGGCGGCGUGCUUAACACAUGCAAGUCGAGGGAGGCCACCCUUCGGGGUGAGUCGACCGGCGGACGGGUGAGUAACACGUGACCAACCUACCUUCGGGAGGGGGACAACCUGGGGAAACCCGGGCUAAUACCGCAUGAUGUGCCAUGGUCGCAUGACCUAGGCACCAAACGGGGGCCUCUGCUUGCAAGCUCCCGCCUGAAGAGGGGGUCGCGGCGUACCAGCUAGUUGGUAGGGUAACGGCCUACCAAGGCGACGACGCGUAGCGGGUCUGAGAGGACGACCCGCCACAUUGGGACUGAGAUACGGCCCAGACUCCUACGGGAGGCAGCAGUGGGGAAUAUUGCGCAAUGGCCGAAAGGCUGACGCAGCGACGCCGUGUGUGGGAGGAAGCCCUUCGGGUGUAAACCACUGUCAGGGGGGAAGAAACUCGGCUGGACAAACAGCCCAGUCGAUUGACGGUACCUCCAAAGGAAGCGCCGGCUAACUCCGUGCCAGCAGCCGCGGUAAGACGGAGGGCGCG